RNAcentral lists this transfer RNA (69 nucleotides) under Macrochirichthys macrochirus (sward minnow). RNAcentral's name for it is "tRNA-Met". It matches the Rfam family "tRNA". From Rfam's summary of the family: Transfer RNA (tRNA) molecules are approximately 80 nucleotides in length. Their secondary structure includes four short double-helical elements and three loops (D, anti-codon, and T loops). Lineage: Eukaryota; Metazoa; Chordata; Actinopteri; Cypriniformes; Xenocyprididae. The record is from RNAcentral.
GAUGUAGUAAGCUAACAAAGCUUUUGGGCCCAUACCCCAAAUAUGACGGUUAAAAUCCUUCCUACAUCA